This 377-nucleotide ribosomal RNA is filed under the name uncultured eukaryote. RNAcentral describes it as "partial 18S ribosomal RNA". It matches the Rfam family "Eukaryotic small subunit ribosomal RNA", at positions 592 to 976 of the family's 1831-position model. The record is from RNAcentral.
CAAUAGCGUAUAUUUAAGUUGCUGCAGUUAAAAAGCUCGUAGUUGGAUUUCGGGUGGGAAUGGCCGGUCCGCCGUUUCGGUGUGCACUUGCUACGCCCACCUUGCUGCCGGGGACGUGCUCUUGAGUUCACGCUCGGGACACGGAGUCGGCGAGGUUACUUUGAGUAAAUUAGAGUGUUCAAAGCAGGCCUACGCUCUGAAUACAUUAGCAUGGAAUAACACGAUAGGACUCUGGCCUAUCUUGUUGGUCUGUAGGACCGUAGUAAUGAUUAAGAGGGACAGUCGGGGGCAUUCGUAUUUCAUUGUCAGAGGUGAAAUUCUUGGAUUUAUGAAAGACGAACUACUGCGAAAGCAUUUGCCAAGGAUGUUUUCAUUAA